This 4774-nucleotide long non-coding RNA is filed under the name Sus scrofa (pig). RNAcentral describes it as "lncRNA (ENSSSCG00025022241.1)". Lineage: Eukaryota; Metazoa; Chordata; Mammalia; Artiodactyla; Suidae. The record is from RNAcentral.
AUUUCUUUGGGCCGCUCCCAUGGCAUAUGGAGGUUCCCAGGCUAGGGGUCACAUCGGAGCUGUAGCCACUGACCUACGCCAGAGCCACAGCAACGCGGGAUCCGAGCCGCGUCUGCAACCUACACCACAGCUCACGGCAACGCCGGAUCGUUAACCCAUUGAGCAAGGGCAGGGACCGAACCCUCAACCUCAUGGUUCCUAGUCGGAUUCAUUAACCACUGCGCCACGACGGGAACUCCCUGCUAAGAGUUUCUUGCAUAUUUUAGGGUGGCAUAUUCUGCUUCCUUUCAUCCUCUUUUUUAUUUUUUUAAAUGGCCACACCUGAGGGAUAUGGAAGUUUCUAGGCCAGGGACUGAACCUGAGCCACAGUUGCAGAUGCCGUAAAUUUUAAUUCACUGUGUCGGGCAGGGGAUCGAACCCAUGCUGCUACAGAGACAAUGCCGGAUCCUUAACCUGCUGUGCCAUAGCAGGAACUCCUUCAUUCUCUUUUUUGAAGCAAGUCUAUUGAUCAUCACACUGAGGUUCCUUUAGUAGAUGGCUCAGUAAAGUAGAAGCAGAAUCAUCAGAGAAGCAUAGAGUGCUUCAAACUAAAGGCCCGAGAUGGUUUUGUGUCUUUUUAUUUGAAGGUAUGUACACACAUACGAAUACACAUACAUACACAAGCACAUCUCUUAGAGAUUUAAGGUGUGAUAUGUUUUAUUGCCAGUUUACAAAACAUUCCGGCGUAGUUACAUACAUUAUGGUGCAAUCAGCAUUCCAGUAACUUUAUCAGCCCCUUAGGAUAGUCAGGUUCUCCUUCUGUUGGAACACUUCCAAUUAUGAAGCUAUUAAAUUAGAAAAGAACAUUUACACUGGAAAAGACAGAAAUGAUGCUUAUAAUAUGCUAGUGAUUCUAUAGUAGAAACAUUAAGGUUUAAAAACUAAACUUAAGAAAUGAAUGCAAAGCAACAGUUUUUAUAGAACUUGACACGAAUGUUAAAAUUUCAUCUGAAAGAUUCAUGGCCCAAGAAUAGCCAAGACAAUCCUGAACAAGAGAAUGGAUAUCUAGAAAUAUAACGAAAAGCAAAACAACCAGGGGUCAUGGUGGGAGCCAUGCUCUAAAGGUCACAAACCACUUCUGAUUCCCCAAUUAAUAUAUGAAAAGGGAUGAAGAGAAUCAGUCACCAGCAGAAUUAAACAAUGAGGAAUUUUGUUUUUUAUUUUAAGUACUUUCUAGCAUUGAGUUAUAAUUUUUAUCUUUGGCUAACAAGGUGUAUAAGAAAAUGGCUUUCAGUCACUUCUAAUUGCAGAGGGCUGUUGAAGAAAUCAUUAACAAACGGUACAACUAUAUUUUCUUAAGUCAUGGAAAGGUUCAACUCUCCAUAUUAGAGGUGAAUUGACUUAUCUCUGACAAUAUUAAUUCUGCAAGCAGAAAAUUCUCUCCUAGCCCUUCUUUCAAAACAUACUCAUUACUAACUUCAGAAAGGAGCCAUUUAAAGUUUUCUAAGGUUGAGAGGCACAGCCUUGGUGCUUAAGAAUUCAGUAGUAUCAUUCAAGCUCUUAGUCAGUGAUGAUCAUACUGGGUUGGAAUGCUGAAAGCUCUGACUGCAAAAUCAGGACUUUGGGCAAUCUAUUAGUUAUGCACAUUUAUUUAGAACCCAGAGAGGGCAAAGUUUAGAUAGGAGAGGAAAAGUCUUAUUGAUAAAAUUUCUAGUUCUACCCAGUAACUAAAAAGAGGCAGACUGAAGAUAAGAAAUCUUUGACUCGACUUAUUUGAAAGAGGCACACAUAGUUAAGCUGGGCAGUCAUGUGACCAAGCAAUCCAGUUCUACCAAUUGCAAGAAAUUACUAUUUUUAGAAAAAAGUCAAUGGCGAGCAUGGCCAACCAGUUUUUAGGGGAAAAUUGAAGGUCAAUCUCAAGAGGAAGAACCUCACCGUAAAUGUUUGUCUUUAUAAAUUAAUUAUCUUAUUGGAAUACAAAACCAAGGCAGAGACCCUGUAACAGGCAACUGGGUCGGGAACCCACAUAAGUAUAAAGAACACAAAUGAGAAGGAAAUAUUGUGGUGCUGCAGAAAUGGACAUUUAAAAAACUAUCAUCAUGAACGACCAUAUUUUCACUAAAGAAUAAGUAUUCCAAAGAAGCAUAGACUAUUUGGUCAAUACAAAAAUAAGUAAGGAAAUAUUAUUAAAGCACAUACUCUCUGAAAAUACAUACAUUCACAAAGAGAGGUAAUUAUUUUUAAAGUCUACAACAGUCUGACCUUGCAACAAGUUUCAGACACAAUUUCUAACAGUCUGUGAAUGUGGGUAUAAAAUUAUUGACAUUGAGAACUUUUCUGUAUAUUCUACAUUUUUACUUGAAUGCUUUUCAGCUUCCAAACUGGGAACUGUUGGGUAGCCAAUGGAACGUUGGUGAUGUGAUGGCAUCAGAAAUGUUGAGGUUUUCCAACAUUAUCUGUUUUAAGUACGCUUCUGAUUAUUAGACUUUUUAUUAUACUAUUCUGACAGGGUUUCUUAUGACAAUGACUUCAUUAGAAGGAACCCACUAUUAUGAUAUCAGAGCAAUAUAAAUGAAUGUGAAUGGUGCUCAGUGACAGACGAAUUUUCAGGCUGUCAGAUAUCUAUCAAAGCAGGUGCUAAACUAUAAUACAAAUGACUUUGUGUUUGUACAAAGUAAUAAAACCUUCAAAAAUACUCAUAUCAACCUAUAAAAUUUGAAGUUUCAUAUCUUACAUGGCUUGCUUGGUAACCAAAAUUAUCAAUUUUUUGGAAAAUUCCAUAAUGCUUUUUAAAAAGAACUAAUUGUAACUCUAAAGUAAAACUUUAAAAUAUGACAGGGAGUUCUUGUCAUGGCUCAGUGGUUAAUGAACCCGAAUAAGAUCCAUGAGGAUGAGGGUUCGGUCCCUGGCGUUGCUCAGUGGGUUAAGGAUCUGGCAUUGCCGUGAGUUGUGGUAUAGGUCACAGAUGUGCCUUGGAUCUGGCAUUGCUGUGACUAUUGUGUAGGCCAGCAGCUACAGUUCUGAUUCAACCCCUAGCCUGGGAACCUCCAUAUGCCAUGGGUGCAGCCCUAAAAAGACAAAAAUAAAAUAAAAUUUAAAAAUGACAUGGAAUGAUUUAUUUUAUGAAGAAGAAAUGAAGUAAAAAGGGUUUCAAUUAAGGAAACACGAAGAAAGUCUGUGAUAGAGUAGGAUCUAACAUCUUCUCAGCCUUGUAGAAUGUAGCCUAUUAAUUAGCCUUGUAGCCUUUUAGGAUGGCCCUGAAACAAGAACUACCUUACACCAAUUGUGGCAGAAAGAAAAGAAGCAUGAGGAAAAGUCUGCACUGAUAGCUGUACUAGGCAGUUAUCAAAAGUAUAGUUUAUAAGAAUUCUAAAAAUUUUAACCAAAUCCAUGCCAACUUAAUUAGGUGUAGCAUUAGCAGUGAAGUAGUUUCCAAAGUGUGUUUCAAAGGACUGGGCAGGAGAGAAGACUCCUUUAGAGUACACAAAGGAGCUAUCACUCAGACUGGGUAGCACCAAAGAAAACUACUGAAUUAAUUUCGUAUUGAAUCUUACAAAAAGAAUGUAGGUUAUCUAUAUUUUCUACUUGAAUCCUACGUCAAUUAGGAAAUCCAAUUUUUUUCAGCCAAACAACAUUGGCAUUUGUUUAGCACCCUCCAGAGAAUGAGUAUUUUGACCACAUAAAAUUGUGACCUAUGAAUAAGCUUCCCAUUUUUUAAGGGCCUUUGCCAUUUAUAUGGUGAAUCAGACAGAAAGUGGAUGGAGCAAAUUCAAUUUACUUAAAAGGAAAGUUUUGUUCCCAAUCUAGUAAAAUGCUUAGUGGGAGAGAGGAUGAAAUACAUCUAGUUAAAAGACAUCCUAUGAUUUUUUUGGGGGGGUUCUGUUUGUAAAUCUAACUUUUCUAUGCUUUUUCUAGACCACUGAUAUCUAGUGGGACAUGAUACACAGGUACUGAAAGUUAUCUGAUACACAUUAGGAAAGGAAAGUAUUUCCAAACAAAGAGAAAUCCUAACUUUUCGCUCAGAAGAAAAGAUUGUGCUUACAAUCUAAAGACUGAGUUGUGGAUCUGUUGGCUCCUUACCUAAAGUAAGGUAAUGCGUGACCCAAUCCAGACUGUUCCAAAAAAUGGUUCAUGCCUCCUAUAGCACUGGUUUUCAAGACUUUUGUUUUUUUCCAAAACUGUAAUUUACAAUGAGAAGUAACAUUUUAUACUGUGACCCAGGAUAUAUAGUGUAUUCAACUGAAAUAAUAUUUCAGGAAACAAUGUUUAAUCUUGUUACAUGCAAAGCUCUUUUCUAUUCCAUUUUUAAAAUAUGCUGGUUUUGAACUGAUUUCACAGCCCACCAAUGGUAUAAGACCUACACUUUGAAAAACACUGUUCUUGAGGAUUUUGGUUGAUCUUGAGAAAAGGUAAAAAGCAAUGGCCCUGGAACCCAAACAGAUUUCUCCGACUUGUGUUGGCUGGGGCAUUAAAAAAAAAACAUUUUCAAACCGCUACCUCCACCUUCAAUGUAUUUGGCACACACUUUCAGUUCCUACAGGCAAACUAACCCAGUACCUUGUCCCAAUCUUUUUAGUACAGGGGCCUUGGCUUGUCCUCAAGUAUCAAUUAAAACAUAUAAUUGAUGACUAAAUAAUGAAGGUACAAAAAAAUUUGCACUGAGUAUUUUUUACCACACAGGAAUAGGGUACUACUUUGCAGGAUAUUUCUAAGAGAUGAGCUAGGUACAUGUAUAGAUACCCACUGGCAUAAUAUUAUUUCCUCUACCUCUGGAAAAAAAUGAGAAAUAGGACUU